GAGGGUACAGCUCAGUGGUAUAGCAUGUGCUUAGCAUGCACAAGGUCCUGGGUUCAAUCCCCAGUAGCUCCG
Molecule: transfer RNA, 72 nt
Filed under: Camelus ferus (Wild Bactrian camel)
Lineage: Eukaryota; Metazoa; Chordata; Mammalia; Artiodactyla; Camelidae
Rfam family: tRNA
About the family: Transfer RNA (tRNA) molecules are approximately 80 nucleotides in length. Their secondary structure includes four short double-helical elements and three loops (D, anti-codon, and T loops).
Source: Rfam by way of RNAcentral